UCUAGUGACGAUGGCAAAGAGGCCACACCCGUUCCCAUCCCGAACACGGAAGUUAAGCUCUUUUGCGCCGAUGGUAGUUGGGGGUUUCCCUCUGUGAGAGUAGGACGUCGCUGGGC
Molecule: ribosomal RNA, 116 nt
Filed under: Streptococcus pneumoniae
Lineage: Bacteria; Bacillati; Bacillota; Bacilli; Lactobacillales; Streptococcaceae
Source: RNAcentral